AACGAACGCUGGCGGCGCGCCUAAUACAUGCAAGUCGAGCGAGAAAGUGUAGCAAUACACUUGUAAAGCGGCGAACGGGUGAGGAAUACAUGGGUAAUCUACCAUCGAGUGGGGAAUAACCAACCGAAAGGUUGGCUAAUACCGCGUACGCCUCCGAGCCUUCGGGUUCGGAGGGAAAGCUGCACUGUGAGUGUAGCGCUCUUUGAUGAGCUCAUGUCCUAUCAGCUUGUUGGUAGGGUAAUGGCCUACCAAGGCUUUGACGGGUAGCUGGUCUGAGAGGACGAUCAGCCACACUGGCACUGCGACACGGGCCAGACUCCUACGGGAGGCAGCAGUAAGGAAUAUUGCGCAAUGGGCGAAAGCCUGACGCAGCGACGCCGCGUGGGGGAGUGAAGGUCUUCGGAUUGUAAACCCCUUUCGGGUAGGGAAGGAAUGGAGCGAGCAAUCG
This 448-nucleotide ribosomal RNA is filed under the name uncultured bacterium. RNAcentral describes it as "bacterial SSU rRNA". It matches the Rfam family "Bacterial small subunit ribosomal RNA", at positions 29 to 467 of the family's 1533-position model. The record is from RNAcentral.